AUCGUGGGCUGAGAUGUGGGUAAGAGGAACUGUUAGGAACUGUUGUCAGGACCAGACCUAGCCCUCAAUUAUGUGUUUCCUGCAGGAAUACCGUGCUGAGCCUUUGCCUUGAGAAUGCAGAGCUGAAAGAGCAGAUGGGAGAAGCAAUGUCUGAUGGAUGGGAGAUCGAGGAAGACAAGGAGAAGAGCGAGGUGAUGGUUGAGACUGGUAGCCAAAGAGGGUCUGAGUGAGAGUAGCCUUCAGGCUGAGUUCAGAAAGCUCCAGGGAAAACUGAAGAAUGCCCACAAUAUCAUCAACCUCCUCAAAGAACAACUUGUGCUGAGUAGCAAGGAAGGGAAUAGUAAACUUACUCCAGAGCUCCUUGUGCAUCUGACCAGCACCAUCGACGGAAUAAACACAGAACUGGUUGGUUCCCCUGGGAAGCACCAACACCAAGAGGAGGGGAAUGUGACUGUGAGGCCUUUCCCCAGACCCCAGAGCCUUGACCUUGGGGCUACCUUCACAGUGGAUGCCCACCUACAGGUGAAUCCUUGGUGAAGCAGGACAGCAAGCAGGUCCAGGUGAACCUCCAGGACCUGGGCUAUGAGACUUGUGGCUGAAGCGAGAAUCAGGCUGAACAGGAGGAAACCACCAGU
RNAcentral lists this long non-coding RNA (635 nucleotides) under Pan troglodytes (chimpanzee). RNAcentral's name for it is "long non-coding RNA NONPTRT008809". The record is from RNAcentral. Lineage: Eukaryota; Metazoa; Chordata; Mammalia; Primates; Hominidae.